CCAGGGCCAGUGCCACCCUCGGGCCUUCAGCCUCCAACUGUAAUUUGUAGCGUGGGUUCCCUUCCCUAGCAUGGGCCAUGACCUUUGAAAUUAGAAUGAACUGUGCCACCAUCUCUCCAGUUCCCUAGGUUGCAAGAGAGCCCUGCAAGGAACUUCUCGUACUGUAGAAGAGAUGAACUAAUUCCCUAUUCCAGGUCUCCAGGUUCCUGUCGUGAAGUCCUUCUGUGCUUUCUCCGGGUGAUGGACUGCAACCUCUAACAAAAAGACCCCUGCUGUGCAAACGCUCCUGUCUUCCCACCCGUUUGGAGCCCAAAGAAACCCGGAAAAGUCUUGCCAAAUGGUAUCGCUUUGGAUAUGAAGCCUGGAGGUGAAGGAAGUGAGGGAAUGAACAGUUCAUUCAGCCUGGCUCAGUAGCUUCGGGGACACGUUUGGAUCAGUGAAAUUGGUAUGUGACAAUCCUUGAAAGAUUUGAUUUUACAAAUUAAAAUAAGUUUAGAUGUUUCUUUGAACAAUUCAGAGAGUGAUCCAGAGAUGACUUCCUAUCUGCACAGAAAUUAAAAGGUACCACUAUGUGUGGCGAUAUUUUGUUUGUUUCUGAUAAAUAAAG
This is a non-coding RNA of Myodes glareolus (Bank vole), 607 nucleotides long. Lineage: Eukaryota; Metazoa; Chordata; Mammalia; Rodentia; Cricetidae. The record is from RefSeq and is a predicted model, not a curated record.